Molecule: transfer RNA, 67 nt
Filed under: Bubalus bubalis (water buffalo)
Lineage: Eukaryota; Metazoa; Chordata; Mammalia; Artiodactyla; Bovidae
Description: tRNA-Tyr
Rfam family: tRNA
About the family: Transfer RNA (tRNA) molecules are approximately 80 nucleotides in length. Their secondary structure includes four short double-helical elements and three loops (D, anti-codon, and T loops). Further hydrogen bonds mediate the characteristic L-shaped molecular structure. tRNAs have two regions of fundamental functional importance: the anti-codon, which is responsible for specific mRNA codon recognition, and the 3' end, to which the tRNAs corresponding amino acid is attached (by aminoacyl-tRNA synthetases). tRNAs cope with the degeneracy of the genetic code in two manners: having more than one tRNA (with a specific anti-codon) for a particular amino acid; and 'wobble' base-pairing, i.e. permitting non-standard base-pairing at the 3rd anti-codon position.
Source: RNAcentral
GGUAAAAUGGUUGAGUAAGCAUUAGACUGUAAAUCUAAAGACAGAGGUUUGAGUCCUCUUUUUACCA